Molecule: transfer RNA, 87 nt
Filed under: Escherichia coli
Lineage: Bacteria; Pseudomonadati; Pseudomonadota; Gammaproteobacteria; Enterobacterales; Enterobacteriaceae
Also listed under: 3 other names
Description: tRNA-Leu
Rfam family: tRNA
About the family: Transfer RNA (tRNA) molecules are approximately 80 nucleotides in length.
Source: RNAcentral
GCGAAGGUGGCGGAAUUGGUAGACGCGCUAGCUUCAGGUGUUAGUGUUCUUACGGACGUGGGGAUUCAAGUCCCCCCCCUCGCACCA